ACGGGGAGCAGCAGGCGCGAAACCUUUACACUGCACGAACGUGCGAUAAGGGGACUCCAAGUGCGAGGGCAUACAGUCCUCGCUUUUUCCUACCGUAAGGAGGUAGGCGAAUAAGAGCUGGGCAAGACCGGUGCCAGCCGCCGCGGUAAUACCGGCAGCUCGAGUGAUGGCCACUAUUAUUGGGCCUAAAGCGUCCGUAGCUGGCCGAACAGGUCCGUCGGGAAAUCCGCCCGCUCAACGAGCGGACGUCCGGCGGAAACCAGUCGGCUUGGGACCGGAAGACCCGAGGGGUACGUCCGGGGUAGGAGUGAAAUCCUGUAAUCCUGGACGGACCACCGGUGGCGAAAGCGCCUCGGGAGAACGGAUCCGACAGUGAGGGACGAAAGCUUGGGUCACGAACCGGAUUAGAUACCCGGGUAGUCCAAACUGUAAACGAUGCUCGCUAGGUGUGGCACUGGCUACGAGCCAGUGCUGUGCCGUAGGGAAGCCGAGAAGCGAGCCGCCUGGGAGGUACGUCCGCAAGGAUGAAACUUAAAGGAAUUGGCGGGGGAGCAC
This 555-nucleotide ribosomal RNA is filed under the name uncultured archaeon. RNAcentral describes it as "bacterial SSU rRNA". It matches the Rfam family "Archaeal small subunit ribosomal RNA", at positions 325 to 879 of the family's 1478-position model. The record is from RNAcentral.